Molecule: ribosomal RNA, 19 nt
Filed under: Agaricus sp. LAPAM4
Lineage: Eukaryota; Fungi; Basidiomycota; Agaricomycetes; Agaricales; Agaricaceae
Description: partial 28S ribosomal RNA
Source: RNAcentral
UGACCUCAAUCAGGUAGAA